UACGGGGGGGGCAAGCGUUGUUCGGAAUUACUGGGCGUAAAGGGCUCGUAGGUGGCCAACUAAGUCAGACGUGAAAUCCCUCAGCUUAACUGGGGAACUGCGUCUGAUACUGGAUGGCUUGAGUUUGGGAGAGGGAUGCGGAAUUCCAGGUGUAGCGGUGAAAUGCGUAGAUAUCUGGAGGAACACCGGUGGCGAAGGCGGCGUCCUGGACCAACACUGACACUGAGGAGCGAAAGCCAGGGGAGCAAACGGG
RNAcentral lists this ribosomal RNA (253 nucleotides) under uncultured bacterium. RNAcentral describes it as "partial 16S ribosomal RNA". It matches the Rfam family "Bacterial small subunit ribosomal RNA", at positions 524 to 776 of the family's 1533-position model. The record is from RNAcentral.